Molecule: transfer RNA, 85 nt
Filed under: Acidobacteriota bacterium
Lineage: Bacteria; Pseudomonadati; Acidobacteriota
Also listed under: 3 other names
Description: tRNA-Leu
Rfam family: tRNA
About the family: Transfer RNA (tRNA) molecules are approximately 80 nucleotides in length.
Source: RNAcentral
GGGCGAGUGAUGGAACAGGUAGACAUGCAUGACUUAGGAUCAUGUGCCGCCAGGCGUCGGGGUUCGAAUCCCCGCUCGCCCACCA